This 253-nucleotide ribosomal RNA is filed under the name uncultured bacterium. RNAcentral's name for it is "partial 16S ribosomal RNA". It matches the Rfam family "Bacterial small subunit ribosomal RNA", at positions 524 to 776 of the family's 1533-position model. The record is from RNAcentral.
UACAGGGGGGGCAAGCGUUGUUCGGAAUUACUGGGCGUAAAGGGUCUGUAGGUGGCCAACUAAGUCAGACGUGAAAUCCCUCAGCUUAACUGGGGAACUGCGUCUGAUACUGGAUGGCUCGAGUGUGGGAGAGGAAUGCGGAAUUCCAGGUGUAGCGGUGAAAUGCGUAGAUAUCUGGAGGAACACCGGUGGCGAAGGCGGCGUCCUGGACCAACACUGACGCUGAGGAGCGAAAGCCAGGGGAGCAAACGGG